CCAGUUCGGAUUGUAGUCUGCAACCCGACUACAUGAAGCUGGAAUCGCUAGUAAUCGCGGAUCAGAACGCCGCGGUGAAUACGUUCCCGGGUCUUGUACACACCGCCCGUCACACCAUGGGAGCCGGGAAUGCCCGAAGUCGGCAGCCCAACCGGAAGGGGGGAGCCGCCGAAGGCAGGCCCGGUGACUGGGGUGAAGUCGUAACAAGGUAAC
RNAcentral lists this ribosomal RNA (213 nucleotides) under uncultured bacterium. Its description in RNAcentral is "partial 16S ribosomal RNA". It matches the Rfam family "Bacterial small subunit ribosomal RNA", at positions 1288 to 1500 of the family's 1533-position model. The record is from RNAcentral.